GACGAACGCUGGCGGCGUGCUUAACACUUGCGAGUCGAACGGAAAGGCCCUGCUUUUGUGGGGUGCUCGAGUGGCGAACGGGUGAGUAACACGUGAGUAACCUGCCCUUGACUUUGGGAUAACUUCAGGAAACUGGGGCUAAUACCGGAUAGGAGCUCCUGCUGCAUGGUGGGGGUUGGAAAGUUUCGGCGGUUGGGGAUGGACUCGCGGCUUAUCAGCUUGUUGGUGGGGUAGUGGCUUACCAAGGCUUUGACGGGUAGCCGGCCUGAGAGGGUGACCGGCCACAUUGGGACUGAGAUACGGCCCAGACUCCUACGGGAGGCAGCAGUGGGGAAUAUUGCACAAUGGGCGGAAGCCUGAUGCAGCAACGCCGCGUGCGGGAUGACGGCCUUCGGGUUGUAAACCGCUUUCGCCUGUGACGAAGCGUGAGUGACGGUAAUGGGUAAAGAAGCACCGGCUAACUACGUG
This 468-nucleotide ribosomal RNA is filed under the name uncultured bacterium. Its description in RNAcentral is "partial 16S ribosomal RNA". It matches the Rfam family "Bacterial small subunit ribosomal RNA", at positions 28 to 507 of the family's 1533-position model. The record is from RNAcentral.